AUUUACUGGGCGUAAAGCGCGCGUAGGCGGCUAAUUAAGUCAAAUGUGAAAUCCCCGAGCUUAACUUGGGAAUUGCAUUCGAUACUGGUUAGCUAGAGUGUGGGAGAGGAUGGUAGAAUUCCAGGUGUAGCGGUGAAAUGCGUAGAGAUCUGGAGGAAUACCGAUGGCGAAGGCAGCCAUCUGGCCUAACACUGACGCUGAGGUGCGAAAGCAUGGGGAGCAAACAGGAUUAGAUACCCUGGUAGUCCAUGCCGUAAACGAUGUCUACUAGCCGUUGGGGCCUUUGAGGCUUUAGUGGCGCAGCUAACGCGAUAAGUAGACCGCCUGGGGAGUACGGUCGCAAGACUAAAACUCAAAUGAAUUGACGGGGGCCCGCACAAGCGGUGGAGCAUGUGGUUUAAUUCGAUGCAACGCGAAGAACCUUACCUGGCCUUGACAUAGUAAGAACUUUCCAGAGAUGGAUUGGUGCCUUCGGGAACUUACAUACAGGUGCUGCAUGGCUGUCGUCAGCUCGUGUCGUGAGAUGUUGGGUUAAGUCCCGCAACGAGCGCAACCCUUUUCCUUAUUUGCCAGCGAGUAAUGGCGGGAACUUUAAGGAUACUGCCAGUGACAAACUGGAAGAA
RNAcentral lists this ribosomal RNA (623 nucleotides) under Acinetobacter sp. RFC1s. RNAcentral describes it as "bacterial SSU rRNA". It matches the Rfam family "Bacterial small subunit ribosomal RNA", at positions 549 to 1171 of the family's 1533-position model. The record is from RNAcentral. Lineage: Bacteria; Pseudomonadati; Pseudomonadota; Gammaproteobacteria; Moraxellales; Moraxellaceae.